Molecule: long non-coding RNA, 1952 nt
Filed under: Theobroma cacao (cacao)
Lineage: Eukaryota; Viridiplantae; Streptophyta; Magnoliopsida; Malvales; Malvaceae
Description: long non-coding RNA (TCAC_LNC001767)
Source: RNAcentral
CUAUUGUCACAACCUAAUUCCCAGGCCAUGACCGGCGCAAGGGCCCAAUGGACUCAGCCCACUAAGCCUAGGCAAGCCUAUUUAUAUAAUCUUAUACAUUACUCCAUAUUUUUUUUAAACUCUAAAAUUCAUAAUGUUCAAAUAUAGUUCCUUUGAAAACAAUUCAUACAACCCAAUUAUGCAUUCAGAAUGGCAUCAUCAUCCAUAAUAUACAUAUAUAGCUUGACAAAUGAAUCUUAGCAUUUCACAACAAGUAUUCAUAUACACAUAAUUAGACCUUGACCGUCAGUAGAGUGACUCUAGGCAUGGUUGCUAACGUUUAGUGUCAUGUUAAACCUACCGAGCAAUGGGUAGGGAGAAGCACCUCGUCCUAGGAUCCAAUCACCUUUAACUCAGAAAACCUAAAACAUGAAGUUUAAAAACAUGAGUAUAAACUCAGUGAGUGAACAUAGGCAGGGAACAAGCAACGAUAAAGGAAGUUUAGAAAUCAUGAUGCACUUAAGUUCAAAAACAAAGCAAUUUAGUUUAAUUCUUGUUAAAAACCCCUCAUUCAAACCUUUGGUGGUUUAAUCUCUAGAUGAUGAAGGAUCUAUGAACAACAACAAGUUAAAGAGUGAAAACUUUAGUAUAAUUCAAACAAGUCAAGCAUAAUAGAUUGAUUUUCGUUGCAGCGAAAAGGCAUUCUCGCUGCAGCGAAAUUAUAGCCAGAUAAAAUCUAUUGGGUUUUCACUGCCACAAGGAAGAUCCACUCAUGCCACAUUGUACAUUAAAUUGAACAUAUUGACAAUAAUUAAGUUUUCUCAAUAUUCAAUGCAAUCACACAUUAUUUCAUACCUUUUUCUAUAGCAUAUAAAAACAUAUCUGUAGCAUAUAUAUAUAUACAAGCAUGUAUACAACCACCACCUCACCCAGUUCAUGUGCACUCCUUACUCGUACAUAUCAACAUCAUCGUGUGCACUCCCUACUCGCACACAUCAACAUCAUUGUGUGCACUCCCUACUCGCACACAUCAACAUCACUAUCCACACUUCCGCACCCCGUCAUCACCAGCAUGUGCAUCCCCCACAUCGUGCACACGCACGGUUAUAUUUAUUACACAAUAUUAACUAUCAAUACGCAACAUAUAUAUUUAUAUCAACAUCAUAUAAGGCACAAGGAUUCAUCAUAUGGCACACUCACAACGUAAAACAUUUUAAUAAAGGCUUGUUCCCUUGCAUAAUCUUUAAGGAAAAAUCAAAUAAAAAUCAUUCACACGCUUCGUCCAAAUACUUAUACAUUUCUCAAAAUAUUUUCAAUGCAAGUUCACUCACCUAACUAAACUAGCACUAACAAGGUCCUAAUCCAGGUAGUCCCGAAAUACCAUUAAAACCUAUAUUUAUCAAUAAACCAUAACAACCUCAAUUAAGUCAUCAAUUAAAUCUAAUAAUUCUAAUGAAUUUACAUUAGGCAAUCUACCCUCUAACCUGACAUUUAACCUAAGUUUCUAGUCUAAUUUACAAACCCAUUUGGCCAACUACUCUAAUUUAAAAUUUCAUUACCUAGAUGAGCUUGGAGGCAUGAAGAUCAACAAAAAACCUAAUCUUACCAAGAAAAAUAAUUUGAAGAAAUUAGGAAAUAAAUCUGAAAAAAUAACCAUAAAUUCCAAAAUUCCAAAAGUUGGAAAUAUAUACCUUUCAACCUUGAAAAUGAAGAUUUGAAGCAAAAAAUCCAAGUGUUGUUAAAAGUGAAGUAGAAAUAGAAAAUAAAAGAAAGAAAGAGAGAUUUUUCUUUAUCUCUCCUUGGGUUUGGAAGUGCUGGAAAUCGGGGUUAGAAGUUGUAACUUUGGUGCACAAGGAGUUGGGAGAAGGAAGAAGCAAAACAAGGAAAGAAAAUGAAAGAAAAUUAACUUUUCAUGGUGGAGAAUGAGAAAAUGGCAUGGGAUGGAGGAAAAAGAAGAAAAUCUAGUGGGAGAG